CUCAAUAUCACCUGAGAAUCUGAAGCUCUCGUCGUCAACCGAUGACGAUUGCCGAGGCCGCUCGCUGGAGAAGCUUCAAACCGCUGCAAUUUUGACGUCUUUUGCCGCCACCGCUGGAAAUUUUUGGAAACCUAAAAUUGUGUGAGGCUGACAUAAGAGUGCCAAAGUAUGAAUUUAGCAAGCUUGCGGCUGCUACCAAUCUAUUCUCCGAAAUAUGAUUGGACAAGGCUGUUUUACCCACAGGAAGGACAGUUGCAGUUAAGAGAUGUUCUUCAUCACAAGACCAUUUCUGCUUCUUGAUCUUGAAUGUAAUGGAACAUUUGCACAUAGAUGAAGAGAGACGUUGUAGGUUUCAAUGGUCAGGACGCUUCAAAGUCAUAAUUGGAAUUGCAAAAGGAGUUACUACUAUUUAUCUCCAUCAAGAGUCAAGUCCGAAAAUGAUUCACAUGGAUCUUAACCCCGCCAAUAUAUUACUGGACAAUGAUACGAAGAACUAUAAUUUUGGCAUAAUUUUUACUCCCUCCGUCUCUCAAGAAUAUGCAAUCUUUGCUUUUUAAUAUAUCCCACAAGAAUAUGUAUUUUUCAAUUUUGGAAACUCUUUUCAAUUAAUGAGGCGGGAUCUAUUCUCCCCUAACAAACAAUACUGUAAUUAUUUUUUUCUCUCUCUCUCUCUUAAAUUACCAAUUUUGCAAA
Molecule: long non-coding RNA, 693 nt
Organism: Salvia splendens (bonfire salvia)
Lineage: Eukaryota; Viridiplantae; Streptophyta; Magnoliopsida; Lamiales; Lamiaceae
Exons: 3
Source: RefSeq, a predicted model, not a curated record